UACGGAGGAUCCAAGCGUUAUCCGGAAUCAUUGGGUUUAAAGGGUCCGUAGGCGGUCUAGUAAGUCAGUGGUGAAAGCCCAUCGCUCAACGGUGGAACGGCCAUUGAUACUGCUAGACUUGAAUUAUUAGGAAGUAACUAGAAUAUGUAGUGUAGCGGUGAAAUGCUUAGAGAUUACAUGGAAUACCGAUUGCGAAGGCAGGUUACUACCAAUGGAUUGACGCUGAUGGACGAAAGCGUGGGGAGCGAACAGG
RNAcentral lists this ribosomal RNA (253 nucleotides) under uncultured bacterium. RNAcentral describes it as "partial 16S ribosomal RNA". It matches the Rfam family "Bacterial small subunit ribosomal RNA", at positions 524 to 776 of the family's 1533-position model. The record is from RNAcentral.